Molecule: non-coding RNA, 26 nt
Filed under: Mus musculus (house mouse)
Lineage: Eukaryota; Metazoa; Chordata; Mammalia; Rodentia; Muridae
Source: RNAcentral
UGAUGCUGGCUACUGGUUUGCUCUGU